UUUGGGCUCAAAAAGCUUAGACCAUCAUGGCUACGAAAACGGCUGCUACUCAGAAAAUAUGUAACUCUGGAGCUCCUUAGUGAAAAAGUAGUCAAAGGCAACAUCAGAGCAGUUGCCAAGUGAUCUUCUCCACAGCACCCAUGAACUUCAGCUUUGAACUGAAGAGGACUCAUCAAAUGGAGAGGCAGCAUGGAAUUGGAAGAGAAGCGGGGAUCUUCAUGAAGGGCAGUCAAGUGCAGUUUUGGUGUGUGAAGGAACAGGUCCUGUUUUCACUGUUGUUACUCCCACAUGGGCGGACUCUGUAACUGAUUAUGUCUGGGUAGGGCCCUAUUGAAAUUAAGGAGAUUCUACAAUAGUGCAGGGUUUUUUUGUGAAAGUUCUGUUGCAAGAUCAGGACGCUACUGUGACUCCUUACUGUGAAUUCUGUCAGUGUAUCAUUGAUUGUGCUGGAACCUGCCUUUUGGGAUAAUGUAAGUCCUGCUUUUCCCCCAAAUGUACUUUAGACAUGAAAUAAUCAUAAAACAUUUCUAAUUGGAAAAGUAAUAUAAUUUACAUGCGUUCUUUUAAUUAUGUUUUUUUGGCAGUACCAAAUAAUAUAUUCCUCAAAACUUCUUAAUGGCACUGAGACUUUGUGGAUAGUUGGUCACAUGAUGAGAAAAUUCAGCUAGUCUAGGAUUCAGAUCUUAGGAUGGGAUGAAUCGCCCUCUGGAGGUGCCCGUUUCAGUCUACUGACUUCACAGGAAUCCUGCUUUGAACUGACAAGCUCAAGCUAAAAGUCAAGUGAGU
Molecule: long non-coding RNA, 786 nt
Filed under: Columba livia (rock pigeon)
Lineage: Eukaryota; Metazoa; Chordata; Aves; Columbiformes; Columbidae
Description: partial uncharacterized LOC102090459
Source: RNAcentral